This 416-nucleotide ribosomal RNA is filed under the name uncultured bacterium. RNAcentral's name for it is "bacterial SSU rRNA". It matches the Rfam family "Bacterial small subunit ribosomal RNA", at positions 8 to 422 of the family's 1533-position model. The record is from RNAcentral.
AGAGUUUGAUCCUGGCUCAGAUUGAACGCUGGCGGCAUGCCUUACACAUGCAAGUCGAACGGCAGCGCGGGGGGUAACUCCUGGCGGCGAGUGGCGAACGGGUGAGUAAUAUAUCGGAACGUGCCCUGGAGUGGGGGAUAACUAGUCGAAAGAUUAGCUAAUACCGCAUACGAUCUACGGAUGAAAGUGGGGGAUUCGCAAGAACCUCAUGCUCGUGGAGCGGCCGAUAUCUGAUUAGCUAGUUGGUAGGGUAAAAGCCUACCAAGGCGACGAUCAGUAGCUGGUUUGAGAGAACGACCAGCCACACUGGGACUGAGACACGGCCCAGACUCCUACGGGAGGCAGCAGUGGGGAAUUUUGGACAAUGGGGGCAACCCUGAUCCAGCAAUGCCGCGUGCGUGAAGAAGGCCUUCGGG